This 466-nucleotide ribosomal RNA is filed under the name uncultured bacterium. Its description in RNAcentral is "partial 16S ribosomal RNA". It matches the Rfam family "Bacterial small subunit ribosomal RNA", at positions 28 to 507 of the family's 1533-position model. The record is from RNAcentral.
GAUGAACGCUGGCGGCGUGCUUAACACAUGCAAGUCGAACGGAAAGGCCCUGCUUGCAGGGUACUCGAGUGGCGAACGGGUGAGUAACACGUGGGUGAUCUGCCCUGUACUUUGGGAUAAGCCUUGGCCACUGGGUCUAAUACCGAAUAUGACAAUUGUUUGGAUGCGCGUGUGGAAAGCUUUUGCGGUAUGGGAUGAGCUCGCGGCCUAUCUGCUUGUUGUUGGGGUAAUGGCCUACGAAGGCGUCGACGGGUGGCGGGCGUGAGAGGGUGUACGGGAACAGGGGGAGUGAGAUACGGGCCAGACUCGUACGGGAGGCAGCAGUGGGGAAGAUUGCACAAUGGGCGCAAGCCUGAUGCAGCGAGGCCGCGUGGGGGAUGACGGCCUUCGGGUUGUAAACUCCUGUCGCAACCGACGAAGCCGUUUGGUGACGGUAGGUGGAGAAGAAGCACCGGCUAACUACGUG